Molecule: ribosomal RNA, 460 nt
Filed under: uncultured bacterium
Lineage: Bacteria
Description: partial 16S ribosomal RNA
Rfam family: Bacterial small subunit ribosomal RNA
Source: RNAcentral
CCUACGGGAGGCAGCAGUGAGGAAUAUUGGUCAAUGGGCGGGAGCCUGAACCAGCCAAGUCGCGUGAGGGAAGACGGUCCUAUGGAUUGUAAACCUCUUUAGGCGGGGAGCAAUGCCGGGCACGCGUGCCCGGAGGGAGAGUACCCGCAGAAUAAGCAUCGGCUAACUCCGUGCCAGCAGCCGCGGUAAUACGGAGGAUGCGAGCGUUAUCCGGAUUUAUUGGGUUUAAAGGGUGCGUAGGCGGAUUUUUAAGUCAGUGGUAAAAUGUCCGGGCUCAACCAGGGCCGGCCGUUGAAACUGGGAGUCUUGAGUAGGCGUGAAGUAUGCGGAAGGCGUGGUGUAGCGGUGAAAUGCAUAGAUAUCACGCAGAACUCCGAUUGCGAAGGCAGCAGACCGGCGCCCGACUGACACUGAGGCACGAAGGCGUGGGGAUCGAACAGGAUUAGAUACCCUUGUAGUC